This is a non-coding RNA of Triticum aestivum (bread wheat), 135 nucleotides long. Lineage: Eukaryota; Viridiplantae; Streptophyta; Magnoliopsida; Poales; Poaceae. The record is from Rfam.
AUGCUACUCCCUUCGUUCCAAAAUUCUUGUCUUAGAUUUGUCUAGAUACGGAUGUAUCUAAUACUGAAACGUGACUUGAUACAUCCAUAUUUAGACGAAUCUAAGACAAGAAUUUUGGGAUGGAGGGAAUAUUUC